UGGUCGGUUCCAGAAGCUGGAGGAAUGAUUCGGUUUCCGAACACCGUAUUUUCUCGGGGUGUAAUUGCACGCCAAUGUUUUCACGUAGGAGUAGGUACCUGAAAGAGAAUUGUUUUUUUUUUCAUUACUAGUCGUAUGAUUCUAGAAUAAAUUUAUUUCUCACCUCAGCCAUUGCCAGGCAAUGGUUGAUCACAGCGGAAGCUAUUUUUUUUUUAAAACGAACACAAACACAUACAGGAUCUCAAUGAAACUUAAUGUUUCCUCGAAGAGAUUCCUUUCACUUAACUCUAAGCGUACAUCUUUCGAGGAUAUGAUGGCUAGCAUCUUACAAAUGCUAAAACCACCAACCCACAGAAAGUGUACUAUGUAUGCCGUGACCGGGAUUUGAUCUCAUGACCGUUGGCUUAGAAGACUGGAAGGCUAUCCUCUACGCCACGGGCUGCGGCUUCCUCCAGCCAAGAGAAUGCUUUGACUGACAAUUCAUCUGCUGGUUCAAACCCGGCCAGAUGAAAUCCAUCAGAAUUCGAGGAUUUGGGCGGUUUCGCUCUUCUGUUCUGUCUUAGUUUUGUUCUUCCAAACAAAAUGGCGUUCUUCACAGUCACUAAACGAAAAUUUGUAAUUGCGCUAAAAGAGCCGAAAUUAACUCAUGUUCGAUAUGAUUAAUAUUUUAAUUCUACCAUAAAGUACAUAUAGUAACAAUCAUAAUCUCAAAGAAAAUAUUCAUUUUUAUAUCAUGCGUCUGAUAUUUUCGAGCACUAUGAAGUAUUUUGAAAUAACGAUAUACUCCACGGUGACUUUAAAAACUAUGGUGGUUUCAAAAUUUAAUGUGUUUGAUAAAGAUUUAGAUAUUACAAUGAAGUGUUCUGGCAUCCCUGACGUCGCUGCAUCUGAACAGACCUAACGGCCACGCUACGAACUGUCAAACCAGAAAACGGUUAGAAGUGAAAAUUUGCGACGAACCAAGAAAGACAAGUGACGCUCUGCGUAUAUUUUAUAAAUUAACGAUAGUUUUAGUUGUUAAAGUUGUUUGUGCCAUUCGUGAGUACCUUUUUAAAUUGUUGUGAACCUUUGACUAAAUCUAACUUUUUGUAAUAUUUAGCGCACAUCGGUAAAAACCCGAUCUAAGGCUGAUACCACGCACAGUCGAGCAUUCCUUUCAAAAGGGCCGAUAUAGGUUAGAUUUUCUUUUAUUGGUAUCAGAAUUAUUUGUAAUAAUGCGCAUUUUCUCGAACUCUAGGCCAGAAAUCUAUGCUCUCGAUUAUAACUUGGCAUCAAAACACGGAAACUCCUCUUGUACUAAAGGAGACAAAUGUAAGAAACAAAAAAUCCUAUGUAAAACUAUUUGCCCUAAUAAACUCAUUGUUUUUUAGCUUUGAGCUGCUCCUGCUCCUGCUCCAACUAGAGCUGCUGCGAGAACCUUUAGUGAAUUAUAUUCCAACAUCCUCAAAGAUUUUCGAAAACCCUAAAGAUUUCGAGAUGGUCAAUUCGGAAGAGGAAAUUGAUUGCCAAGAUGGAUUCGACUGUGGUGGAUGCAACAGACCUAAUUCGGUGGAACGGAGAAUGGUGUCGUGCGAUAAUUGUUUAGGCUGGUGGCAUCUGAGUUGUGCGAAUCAAUCUCCCGGCGUAAAGGAUCGCCCAUGGAGAUGCACUAAAUGCACACCACCUUCUGCAGACCCGUCAGAGUCCGUAAACACCGCCGAUUUCAGCACACCCAUCGUGCGAUCAAAGGCUCCUCACUCCAGUUCAACGAGAAUAGGAAGGGCUGAAGUUGAGAACGGAGCUAGGAAGAAAUGUGCGGAAUCCAACAAAGAUUCGUCCGUGAGAAGUGCCGGCAAAUCUGUGAGAUCUACUACAUCCAGCGCCCGCAUCCGGACCGAACUUGAGUUGGCCAAAUUGGUAGCAGAAAGAGAAAUUAAAAGUCGCCGUAUGAGAGAGGAAAUGCGUUUCCUAGAAAAGGAACGGGCUAUCCGUCUAGAAGAGCUUGCUUCUGAGGAAUCCUUCUUAAAGAAGAAGCACCAGCUGGAAGAGAAGCUAGUAGAGGACUCGGGAUCGGAAAGUGUUUCCGAAUCAGCGCCGAGUGGAAGUCAAAAGGCUGAGGAAUGGUUGCGCAAUCAGCUGGAGGAAAACAAUAACGAUCCGGAAGAGGUUUUUGAUGUUUCGAACGCCGAAGCUCGAAGCGGAAAGAUUUUGCACGCCAUGGUGGAACGAGGUGAAGAGCAUCACGCUAACUCUCGGAUAGUCGAACUGAGUACAUCGAAAUCAGUUCAUUCCGAACCUAGAAGUCACUCGGCACGAAUCCGUGUGCCAAUUAUGAACCUGAUUCCUGAAGUACCACCUCCAAAGCAACCCAUAAAUCCUUUCCCACAACCGGUAGCGUUUGCCAACCUGAAUAUUGGUCCGUCUGCAGAACAAGUGUUGGCUCGCCAAGUCUGGCCCAGAAAACUACCUGUGUUUGCCGGAGAGCCUGAGGAGUGGCCAAUAUUUUUCCAUAGUUACGAAACGUCCAAUGCUGCCUGCGGUUUCUCAGACGUUGAGAAUCUUGUCCGUCUUAGAGAAAGCCUGCGAGGGGCGGCUCGAGAAGCAGUGAGAACAAAAUUGACAUUUCCUGACAGCGUGCCGAAGAUAAUGGAAACACUGAAACGUUUUUAUGGACGGCCCGAAAUUCUUGUAAGGAACAUGCUGGCUAAAGUGCGCAAACUCGAAUCGCCAAAAUCUGAGCGUCUAGAUAGCCUUAUUAAGUUUGCCACAGCUGUACAGCACCUUUGUGACCAGCUAGAGGCUGCAGGUCUACGAGCUCAUUUAUCGAAUCCCGAUUUGCUCAGCGAAUUGGUUGAGAAGCUCCCUGCUCAUCAUCAGCUUGCUUGGGUGAGAUAUAAACGCUCCUUCCCCGAGCCUACGCUGAAGGAAUUUGGCCAGUAUAUGGAGGAAUUGGCCGAGGACGCCUGUGAGGUUACUACGCUUGUACCGCCGAAACCUGAGGCAGCGAAGUAUGCAAAACCGUCGCAGAAGAAAGAGGGACAUUUCCAUGCUCACAUUAACAGUAAUGCAAACCAGGAAGAAUAUAGACAACGUAAGCCAUGUCCAAUCUGUGGUGGCAUAGAUCACCGGGUUCGGAACUGCUCGAAGUUCCAAGAACUAAAUCUCGAUUCAAGAAAGCGUGCAGUACGCCAGUGGAAUUUGUGCGAAAUGUGCCUGAAUGAGCACGGUAAUUGGAAGUGUAAAUCAAGAAUCCGAUGUAACAUCGAAGGCUGUAGAGUUCAGCACCAUCCGUUGCUCCAUGUUCCAGCGCAAGCCAAAAAGGGAGAAGCAACAGUCGUUAAAUCUGUUUGUAAUUCCCACAACGAAUUCAGAAAAGCUUUUUUCUUUCGAAUAUUUCCACUUACCCUGCACAACGGAAAUCGCACUGUCGAUACUUUUGGAUUCUACGAUGAAGGGUCAUCACUGACCAUGAUGGAAUCGUCAUUAGCACGCCGCCUAGGAAUAGAGGGAAAGAGGCAUCCGCUGGAAUUGCAGUGGACUUCCGGUGUAACCCGGAACGAAGAUUCAUCCAAGCUCAUUAAAUGCAUGAUCUCGAAGUUAGGAGAUCCGAAACAACAUUCUUUUACCGCACACACGGUUUCGAAACUUGAGCUACCGAAGCAAACCCUCUGCUACGACGAAUUAGCUAAUCGUUAUGAACAUCUGAAAGAUAUCCCAAUCAGUUCAAUUAACGAUGCUCAGCCUGAAGUGCUUAUUGGGUUAGAUAACAUUGACAUUUUAACCCCAAUCGAAAGUCGGCAAGGUCAACCUGGCGAACCUGUUGCCGUGAGAUCACUGCUCGGAUGGGCCAUCUAUGGGCCUAACGAGGCAGGAGAAAGAAAUGACAAGAACUCGGUCCGAGUUAACUUCCAUCACUGCGACGCAGAUCAAGAGCUUAACGACCUCAUCCGACAACAUUUCGUUCUGGAGGAACCCCAGAACCCGUUUGCGCCGAUUCUUGAAUCUGCCGAAGACAAGCGAAGUAAAACGAUCCUAGAGGAAACCACGGUGUUCCGUGACGGUGCAUACGAAACUGGAUUGCUGUGGAAAGCAGAUGUAGUGUGCUUCCCAGAUAACCGGUACAUGGCUGAGAGGCGUCUGAAAUGUCUAGAGAGCAAGCUGUCAAAAGACCCCGAACUACAGGCUAACGUACACCAACAAAUACGAGACUAUUUGACAAAAGGGUAUGCCCAUAAGGCAACCGAAGAAGAGUUGGCAGAAACUAGUGCUGAGCGCGUCUGGUACCUCCCCCUGAAUGUGGUGUCGCACCCGAAGAAACCGAACAAAAGACGGCUGGUGUGGGACGCGGCUGCCUCAGUGGGUGGAGUUUCCCUCAACAAUCAACUAUUAAAAGGUCCGGAUUUACUGGUCCCCCUGCAUUCAGUGAUAUGCAAGUUCCGAGAGUGGCGCAUCGGAUUUGGUGGCGACGUAAAGGAAAUGUUCCACCAAAUCCGAAUAAGAGCAGCUGACAAAAACUACCAACGAUUCCUGUUUCGAUUCGACGCAACACAACCGCCCGACGUGUAUAUUAUGGACGUCGCGACGUUCGGAGCGACGUGCUCGCCCUGUUCGGCGAUCUACGUGUUGCACAAAAUAGCAGACGAGUGUCGGGAGGAUUUCCCGAAAGCUACGACAGCUAUUAAGGAGAAAACGUAUAUGGACGAUUAUUUCGAUAGUGCCCCCACUUCCGAGGAAGCAGCUGAUCGAGCGAUUCAGGUGAAAGGAGCCCUUGCUCGGGCCGGAUUCACCAUGAGAAAUUGGGUUAGCAACGAUGAAUCGGUGCUACAAGCAGUCGGAGAGAAUUCGGAACAGAAAUCGCUCUCACUUAUCAGUGACAUAGGAGGCGAUAACAUCGAGAGGGUCCUUGGACUGGAGUGGAACCCACGGCAGGAUUGUUUCCAAUUUCCUACCAGCCUACGUGGUGAGCUGGCGCCGUAUGUUUGCGGCGAACGACGACCGACUAAGAGAAUGGCUCUUCGAUGUAUUAUGAGUCUUUUCGACCCAUUGGGUCUUCUGUCCCCGUAUACAAUCCACGGGAAGAUGCUGUUCCAAGAUCUUUGGAGAUGCGGCAUACAAUGGGAUGACGACAUUCCGGAUGAAGCUUUCGAGAAAUGGGUCCGAUGGACAAAGCUUCUCCAAGAAAUCAACAACCUUCAGAUCCCCAGGUGCUACUGUGGUGGAGAUCAUGCUGGAGGGUACGAAACAUUGCAGCUACAUGUGUUCACCGAUGCCAGUGAACUGGGCUACGGAUGCGCGGCGUAUUUCCGUGUCAUCGAGGAUGGAAAAGUGAAAUGCUGCUUGGUGAUGGCGAAGGCUAAGGUGGCCUCCCUCAAGGUGCAAUCGAUUCCCAGAAGAGAGCUUCAAGCCGCUGUGUUGGGUGCUAGGAUGUUGAUAAACGUUUGUUCUAGCCACACGGUGGAAAUCAAGGAGAAAUUUCUUUGGACGGAUUCUACCACCGUCUUGUCCUGGAUUAGAUCUGACCACCGAAGAUUCAAGCAAUAUGUAGCCGUUCGCAUCGGAGAAAUUCUGACCUUAACAGAUUCGGAUCAGUGGCGCUGGGUGCCUUCGAAAGAGAACAUCGCUGACUGUUUGACCAAGUGGAAUAAAGAUACGGAUCCAAAACCGGAUGGUCGUUGGUUUAAUGGCCCAUCAUUCCUGUACGAACCUGCUGAUAGAUGGCCACAACAGAAAUCACCGAAUGAAAGCACCAACGAAGAGUUGAGAACCCACUACCUUUUCCACCACAUUGAUAUUCCCAUUCAGCUAAUUGACAUUGCUAGAAUCUCUAAAUGGACCAUAUUGGUACGCAUACUGGCUACGGUUAUGCGAUUUAUUUCGAAUUGUCGUCGACGAAAGAAAGCAUUGCCCAUCGAGACGGUACCUUCCGUAGAGAAUGUGAAGCGAUACGUAAUGCGAACCAUCCCGAAUAUCGAAACACCGUUGAAGCAAUCCGAAUACCAAUCAGCCGAGAACAUCCUUUGGCGAUUGGCUCAAAGUGAGCACUACCCUGAUGAGGUGAAGGUGCUGAUAUCAAAUCGUGAAAGAGCCCUAGAGGAUUUAAUCAAGAUUGAGAAAACUAGUUGCCUGUAUCAACUCUCCCCGUUUGCUGACGAAUUUGGUGUUAUUAGAGUGGAAGGAAGAACCGUGAAUGCGCAGUACGCGUCCUUCGAUUCCCGAUUUCCAGUAAUAUUGCCCCGAGAGCAUGUAGUUACCCAAAGGCUUUUGGAGCAUUAUCACCGAAUUUUUGGACACGCAAACAGAGAGACAAUUGUCAACGAAGUCCGUCAGCGUUUUCAGAUCGCGAAUCUGAGGUCCGCUGUUAACGAAGUAUCGAGAAGCUGCCAGGUAUGUAAGAUUAAAAAAUGUAAACCACAUCCACCAAGAAUGGCGCCAUUGCCAGAGCAAAGAUUGACACCGUAUACCAGACCCUUUGCGUAUACCGGUGUGGAUUAUCUCGGGCCGUUGGAGGUAACCGUUGGCAGGCGGAAGGAAAAGCGAUAUGUAGCGGUCUUCACAUGCUUGGUAGUCCAUGCCGUUCACCUGGAGCUGGCGUACAGCUUAACGACGGAUUCCUGCAUAAUGGCGAUCAGGAGAUUUGUGCCAAGAAGAGGUCCCCCACGCCAAAUAUUUUCCGACAACGGGACGAACUUUGUCGGUGCCGAUCGCGAGCUUAAACGACAGAUCAAGAGAAUCAACAGCGACUGUUCCGACACAUUCACCAACGCCCGAACAAGCUGGUUAUUCAAUCCGCCCUCCGCUCCCCACAUGGGUGGAGUAUGGGAGCGGAUGGUGCGAAGCGUGAAAGAAUCGAUGAGAGCUCUCGACGACGGAAGGAAACUCAACGACGAGAUUCUGCUGACGGUGUUGGCGGAAACAGAAGCUUUUAUAAACUCUCGUCCACUGACGUACAUGCCUCAAAGUUCGGCCGACUACGAAGCGUUGACACCCAACCACUUUUUGGGUAACUCCACGGGAGAUCAGGACCCUAUGCGUGAUCCAAUCAGUCUCAGCCAAGCACUGCAAAGCAGUUACCUUCGUUCGCAGUAUUUAGCUGAUGCUACAUGGGACAGAUGGCUGAAGGAAUACUUUCCUAAUAUGAACAAGCGGUCCAAGUGGUUCGAAGAUGUGGUGUCGGUUAAACUUGGAGACCUGGUGUAUAUUGCGGAAGGCAGUCGGCGUACCUGGAUCCGAGGAAGGAUCGUGGAGCUAAUCCCGAACAAGGAUGGAAGGAUCAGACGUGUUGCAGUACAAACGACAUCUGGACGACUCGAGAGACCGGUGGCGAAGCUGGCCGUUAUGGAGAUAGGUAACGGUGAAUCCGAGCAAGGUGAUACGGAGGCCGUUCCGGAUUCACGGGGUGGAGAAUGUUCUGGCAUCCCUGACGUCGCUGCAUCUGAACAGACCUAACGGCCACGCUACGAACUGUCAAACCAGAAAACGGUUAGAAGUGAAAAUUUGCGACGAACCAAGAAAGACAAGUGACGCUCUGCGUAUAUUUUAUAAAUUAACGAUAGUUUUAGUUGUUAAAGUUGUUUGUGCCAUUCGUGAGUACCUUUUUAAAUUGUUGUGAACCUUUGACUAAAUCUAACUUUUUGUAAUAUUUAGCGCACAUCGGUAAAAACCCGAUCUAAGGCUGAUACCACGCACAGUCGAGCAUUCCUUUCAAAAGGGCCGAUAUAGGUUAGAUUUUCUUUUAUUGGUAUCAGAAUUAUUUGUAAUAAUGCGCAUUUUCUCGAACUCUAGGCCAGAAAUCUAUGCUCUCGAUUAUAACUUGGCAUCAAAACACGGAAACUCCUCUUGUACUAAAGGAGACAAAUCUUUGAGCUGCUCCUGCUCCUGCUCCAACUAGAGCUGCUGCGAGAACCUUUAGUGAAUUAUAUUCCAACAGAAGUUUGAAGGAGAAAAUCAUUGUUCGGUUGUAUGAUUAUGAUAUUCAGGCAAUCUGGGCCUUUGCAACACUACCUACCAGAGGUGCAAAGAGAUCCCUACAUGUAGCAUGCAGCGCACGACUUUUAGCCGAUUCUAACAGACCGACGUCAGCCACGAAAGAAUCGUCUUGCAAAGUUGCAGACUGAUUCUUUCUCCCUUAUGUGCAGAACGUCGAACGUGUCUGCAAGUAAAAGCCAACCGCGCGGUAAAAUCCUUUGACUGCACGUUCCGAAAAUUACAAACGAUUCUCCGAAGUUAGGAACAGUUGCAAACUUGCAAGCCCGAAGAUAAAAUCCCUUGAGCCGAACAGAAAGAAUCAUUUCCGAAGAUAGCUACAGUCUGCAAGUUGCUUGCAUGCAGCGCGAUGAUGCGAUGUACGUUUGCAAACUUGCAAGUUACAGUUCUUGUGCGGUUCGAUUUGAUCCACCCCAACCCAACCUAAAACCGAACCGAAUCCAUGGCAUGGUGUAAGAAAAUGAUAGGCCGAGGUGCCGUCGACUAUCCAUUCAGUUGCCGUUCAGCCAGCGAAGCGGCAUGCCGUACGACAAGAGCAAGGACAUGUUGAAGUUGUUGUUGUUGGUGCCUUCGUGUUCGUUUCGUUUUCUUCUAAGACGGAUUCGAAAGGAAGUGGUGCCCAAAUUUUAUUUGAAUUUUCAAUUAUCAUACCAGGGUGAUUGAUAUAAAUCAUCAAAGCAAAUACAAGCAAAUUUGUUUUGAUUAUAACUUUGUCAUUUUACAAGUUAUUUAUAAACACAAAGUUGUUAAUUAAAACUGAUCCAAACUCUGUUGGAAAAUCAUCUAUAUUGUUUUAUAACAGAGCUGCCUUAAAAUUCUUUAAAGUUUCGUUCCGAAAAAUUCAAUCGAUUCUCCAAAGGCAGGAUCACUUGAUUAGUAGGAUCACAGAUUAAAUUGUGUGAAUUUCAAUUUUAGAAUUCAGUUUCAUUUGCUUAGACAUGUAUAAGAAUCACGUCAUCUUUACCAAGUUAUCUACAGUUUUUACAGAAAGUUUUUACAGAUCGGUACAAAACUCAAUAGAAAUUCAGUGCUUGCUCGUCGUCAUUCCAACCUUGAACUCAAAAACUUCACACACUGUUUGAUUCGAAUCUUCUGUCAAAGUUUUAUAACUUGUUUUUAAUUAAUUUCGCGUUCUGAACUAGAAUUUUUGGUCAGAUUUUGUCUAUCGCAUCCAGUAUUACUGAUAAGGCUUUUAAAAAUCAGUGCUAUGAUAAAUCAAUUACUGUCUAUAUAUUAUUUUUUACUUCUUUGCUGAAGACUGUAAAGCGUUUUAAGUUAUACUUUGAAAAAUAUCUAUAAUUCAUUUUGGUAUAAAAUUUCAUCAGAAUUUCGUCUCAACAGAAGGAAGAAAAAAUUUCUUUUACUUCAAAGCCAAAAUUACUUGCAGUCUUCGUAGAAACUUAAAUUUUAAAAAUCUUACUCAACGGUUGCUAUUUAUCUCAGAUAUUACGAAACUGCUUAUAAAAAGCUGGACGUUUCACGGUUAAACAUAUCCCGCUUUCGCCCAUCAAUCAGUCAAUUGCAUAAUCUUCAAAAUAAGAAGUAUGGAAACUGAAUAAAUUAUUGAUUUAUGUUUCAAAGUCAGCAACUUAUGUACUUUUUAUCAAAAUAAAUUGACUAAAGGAUUAACAUGAAUGAACAUUUUCAUACAAAUCGGAAUUUUUUAUUCAAGUUUUUAAAGCUGUUUGCGUAUCUUUCGUAACGAACUUUUGAAAUCUGCCACUUUUAAGUUUAACUUCGCGAGAACUACUAUGAAGAAUUUUUGCAAAAGGCUUUGAUAAGUAUCUCAAAUAUCAAAAUUUAAAUAAAACAAGUCCAAAAAAGUAGAUUUUCAAACAACUGCUGAAUCACAUAUUUGAAAAACGCUGAAUCACAUUAAAAAAAACGCUUUGAUACGAAAUAUGAAUUAAUGGCAUGAAAUCAAAUAACAUCGCGUUUAAAGGUUGAAGUGACAGUGAGCACUUAGCUUAUUUAAUAGAACUAUGAACGGUAAUGUGUAUCAACUCCAUUUCAUUUUACAACGGUGACCAAAAAAGGCACUCAGCUCGAUCAUUUUAUGUUAACCUGAUUUUCUUUGAUUUUUCUUUUCAAGCUCCUUGAAUUUGUGCAUGUUGGCAACCCUGCUCUCAAUACUGAAUCUUUAAUAUGUGAUUCUAUUUUAUCAAGUGAUCCUAUCCAUGGAGAAUGGAUUGAAUUUUUCGGGCCGCAGCUGUGUUAUAAAACAAUAAAGAUGAUUUUCCAACAUUUUUCGGAUAAGCUUUUAUUAACACUUUUGUAUUCAUAAAUAACUUGUAAGAUGACAAAGUUAUAAUCAAAACAAACUAGUUUUUAUUUGCUUUGAUGAUUUAUCUUAAACACCCUAGAAUGAUCAUUGAAAACUCAAAUAAAAUUUGGGCACCACUUCCUUUCGAAUCCGUCUUAGAAGGAAACGAAACGAGCACGAAGGCACCAACAACAACAACAACUCCAACAUGUCCUUACUUCUGUAGUACGGCGGCGCACCGAGUGUUUUGCAGACAGCCAUGUACAUACGCUACACACGCACGCUUCGAUGGCUGAACGGCAACUGAAUUGAUGGUCGGUGGCUGUGGCUCUUCGGCCUAUCACUUUCUUUCUCCAUGGAUUCGGUUCGGUCGGUCCUAGGUUAGUGGAACGAAUCCAACCGCACAAGAACGAGUCCACCGUCCUGUAACUUGUAAGUUGCAACUUGCAAAUUUGCAAACGUACAUCGCAUCAUCGCGCUGCAUGCAAGCAACUUGCAGACUGUAGCUAUCUUCGGAAAUGAUUCUUUCUGUUCGGCUCAAGGGAUUUUAUCUUCGGGCUUGCAAGUUUGAAAUUUUCGUAACGUGCAGUCAUCGCGACUUUUACUUGCAGACACGUUCGACGCUCUGCACGUAAGGGAAAUAGAAUCAGUCUGCAACUUUGCAAGAUGAUUUUUUCGGAGCUGACGUCGGGCUGUUAGAAUCGGCACUGCAUGUUUCAUGAUGGGAUCUCUUUGCACCUCUGCUACCUACAAAUUAAACGUGUUUGAUAAACUCUGUCUUUCA
Molecule: RNA transcript, 11009 nt
Organism: Uranotaenia lowii
Lineage: Eukaryota; Metazoa; Arthropoda; Insecta; Diptera; Culicidae
Exons: 2
Source: RefSeq, a predicted model, not a curated record